This 2157-nucleotide long non-coding RNA is filed under the name Carica papaya (papaya). RNAcentral describes it as "long non-coding RNA (CPAP_LNC001940)". The record is from RNAcentral. Lineage: Eukaryota; Viridiplantae; Streptophyta; Magnoliopsida; Brassicales; Caricaceae.
UUUUUCUGAUUCGUACAUUAGAAACUUCCGUGGCAAAUAAUACCGGUCUACGUGGCACGCCUUCUCUGACCCAACUGCUGACGUCACCCAUCGUGUUCUCUGGAGGGAAGCUCCGCUGAAACCUCUCCCUGGACCCCACCGCACUCCACUCUUUUCCCCUUUCUCUUCUUUUCCACGGCACCUUCUUCCUCAACCUUCCUCCCCCUCCUCUCAUUUAUAGACCACGCCUCUCCCUCCUCACUCUCAUUUUCCUCUCGUUGCUUUUUUUUUUUUUUACUCUUUUCCCCUUUCUCUUCUUUUCCACGGCACCUUCUUCCUCAACCUUCCUCCCCCUCCUCUCAUUUAUAGACCACGCCUCUCCCUCCUCACUCUCAUUUUCCUCUCGUUGCUUUUUUUUUUUUUUUUUUUUCUCUUUCGGAAAAAAAGAGAAAGAAAAACGAAUCAUUUUCAGAUUAUUCAAGCUCGCCACCAUGAUUUCCGCUCUUAAGUUUCGAGUGUGCUCCGCGAAGCGUGGGAUGUUUUCUCUCGCCUUGCUUCUUCUCUUCCUCGGUCAUCUCAGCCCGGUGGCCGCUCAGCUGAGUCCGCCCGACCCAUUUCAGAACCCGCGAUUCAAUCCCUCGAUGGCUAUCAUAGUCGUCGUGUUAAUUUCCGCCAUGUUCUUCAUGGCGUUCUUCUCCAUCUACAUCCGUCACUGCUCCGACUCAAAUAAUGCCGGGAGUGUGCGCCCGCUCGCCGUUCUUUCCCGCCGACUUGCCGCAGCUCGCGGGCUGGACCGCGCCGUGAUCGAGAAAUUCCCCACUUUUGUUUACUCCGACGUCAAGGGGUUGAAGAUCGGAAAAGGCGCGCUGGAGUGCGCUGUAUGUCUCUGCGAGUUCGAGGAUGACGAAACGCUGCGUUUAAUCCCCAAGUGCGAUCAUGUCUUCCACCCUGACUGCAUCGACGCCUGGCUCGCUUCCCACACUACCUGCCCUGUCUGCCGUGCCAACCUCACUCCCCAGCCGGAAGAUGAGAAUUCGCCCGCGGUUCAACCCACCGAGUCUUCCCGCGAGGAAAACGACAUCGAGUCCCAAAACGACGCCGUUCUUUCCGAUCACGAAAACGACACCGUCACAGAAAACGCCGGCUCGGCUCCACCUGCGCCGGAGCAGCAAGUGGUUCCCGCUUUGAAAAGGAACCGUACACGUGGAUCUUCGAGAUCCGGAAUUUCGUUUAUCAAGUUCCUGCGUUCGAACUCAACCGGGCACUCUGUGGUGCAGCCAGGAGAAAACACCGAGCGAUUCACGCUGCGGUUGCCAGUCGAAGUGAGGAAGCAGAUAUUGAAAGAUCGGAAGCUGAACCGGGCGACCAGUCUGAUUGUUCUGCCUGGAGAAGCGAGCUCAAGGAGAGGUUACCGAACUGGAGUUGAUGGCGGGAGCAGCAGAGGAAAAUCUAGUAGUUACCGGCGGAUUGACCAGCCGGAACGGUUGAUCGUCAAGUCAGACCGAUGGGUCUUUCUCAGAACCCCUUCGUUUUUCUCAAGAGCGUCGUCUUUCAAGUCCCCCAGGGUGGCGGCCAAUGACGGCGAGGGUAUGUCGACUAUGUUGAACGGGCCGGGAGCUCAGGGCAGUGAUUCCGGUCGUCUUCCGGUGUAGUAAUUAGCUACCGGGCCCCGUAUUAAUACGAAUUUUUUUUUAUUUUCUAAAUUGUGUAUAAUACGCUUUUUUUUGGGUAUUUUUUAAUUAUUUUAUUUAUAAGAACAAUGUAGUUAGACACACAAAGUCUUUUGAACACAUGCUUCCGAAAGCUAAUUUUUAUUUUAAUUUCGUUUCUAUUUAGAACUAUCAUAACGUAAAUAUUUACUAUGAGUAAAUUACAAGAAUUUGAAUAUUAAACGUUAGUAUUUAUAUAUAUAUAUUAUAAUUUAAUAAAUACCUUAUAUUAUAAAUUAACACCCAUAAAAAACACACCCUUUGUUCAUUUAUUUGCUAACUUUAUUUUAAAAUUCAUGAAUUCUGAAAUCAAAUGUGAACUUGGAAUGUGCUGUGGAAUCAAAUUCAAAGUAAGGCAAUGAGUUCUUUAUGCAUUGGCAAGUUGGGUUUUCAGGAUAUGAUUUAAUUGAAAAAUAAUAAGUUAUUGGACCACAACCUUAUGGACCGAUAUGGAUGGCAUUAAUUAUUG